GAUGAACGCUGGCGGCGUGCCUAAUACAUGCAAGUCGAGCGAACGGACGAGAAGCUUGCUUUUCUGAUGUUAGCGGCGGACGGGUGAGUAACACGUGGAUAACCUACCUAUAAGACUGGGAUAACUUCGGGAAACCGGAGCUAAUACCGGAUAAUAUUUUGAACCGCAUGGUUCAUAAGUGAAAGACGGUCUUGCUGUCACUUAUAGAUGGAUCCGCGCUGCAUUAGCUAGUUGGUAAGGUAACGGCUUACCAAGGCAACGAUGCAUAGCCGACCUGAGAGGGGACUCGGCCACCCAUGAACUGAAACCCGGGCCGACCCCCAACGGGAGGCAGCGGUAGGAAAUUUUCCGGAAGGGGCGAAAGCCUGGCGAGGCAACGCCGGGUAAGUGUAGAAGGUCUUUGGAUAGUAAAACUCUGUUAUUAGGGAAAAAAAGAUGUGAAGAUAACGGGGCACGUCGUGACGGAACCGAAAGAGAAAGCCCCGGCAAACUGCUU
Molecule: ribosomal RNA, 496 nt
Filed under: uncultured bacterium
Lineage: Bacteria
Description: partial 16S ribosomal RNA
Rfam family: Bacterial small subunit ribosomal RNA
Source: RNAcentral